RNAcentral lists this long non-coding RNA (1029 nucleotides) under Heterocephalus glaber (naked mole-rat). RNAcentral's name for it is "lncRNA (ENSHGLG00000037679.1)". Lineage: Eukaryota; Metazoa; Chordata; Mammalia; Rodentia; Bathyergidae. The record is from RNAcentral.
CGGGGCGGGAGGGGAGGAGAGCCCCGCCCGCCCCGCACAAAGGCGCCCGGCCCCUCCGAAACUUUGCGCCCCGGGAGCUCAGGCCCGGCCAGCCCGUGACAGCGGUGACCCACGCCCCCGCCGCACCGGCCCAGAUCGGGCGCCUCGCCUCGGGCGCCCACGCGGAGCAGCGGCUCCCCCUUAGCAGGCGGCCGGGCCGAGCCCACUCCCCGCGCCGGAGCAGCGAGCGGCACGGCAGGUCCGAUCCUGCGUACUUCCCAGCAGACCACCUGGCCUUGAAAAGCCAGUCACAGAUCUCAGAGAGGACACGGAUACUGCGCCCCCAGAUGCCUCAGUCUAUGGAGGAACACUGUGUUAUUUCCUACAGGGAGGACGUGGAUAGGAGCUUAUUCCAUAUGUGCAAGAAAAAUCGAGACAGCUGCUACUGAUGAGGGUCACCGUUGAGUCCCUUCCUGCCCGGACCCACAUGGCUCCCAGCACUACAAACACAGCACACAUGUCCCACCCUGUGAGCACCCGAGACUGUCGCAGGACCAUGAGGCUCAUUCCACAGAUGGAGAUGGGCGUCUGAGUCCACACCUGGCCUGCAGCUGGCCAGGCCCCGGCCCCGGGCGGCAGCCUCCUGUGAGUGUCGUGUUGGGGAGUCCUCCGCAGAGAACCCUCCCCCACUGCCUGUUCCCAUCGACUCGGUCACCCUCCCUGGGCCUGUGCAGUCCCUGGGUGACUCUAGGCACCCAGCCUUCCACUCUCCCUAGGUCCCCUGGGCCACCCAGUCUCUAGCCCUGGCUGAGCGCCUCAGUCUCCCUCUUGCCCCAGGCAGACCUUCAGCUCAGAGAAAUUGUCAGGACCACAAGUAUUACUGACAGCCACAACAAAGCUGGGCCGGCUGACUGGCUUUCCUGAGGAGGCCUAGUCUUCGCUGGAAGCUGGAGAACAGCACCUUUGUCAAUAUGAGAGGCAGCCUAGGGAGCAGGCGCCUGCCACUUCCUUAACCACCCGAAGGCAUUCGGUGAACGUGUGUUCCAAAAU